CCCCGUUAUUCAUCAGUGGAAAUAGCCAGUGUUUAAAAAGAAGUAUGCAGCAAAUUAUUCAUCAUUGUACAACAUGAAUACCACACGCCAAAACAACUUACACUGCUUGACUUAGUAAAAAAGGACUGAAUGUUUUUUUGUGAAAAGAUAGCGCUGAAUUCUUGUUGAAUCUGUUAGCACAGUCAACCGCACAACAGCUUUUUCCCAUUUUAGAUACGUUUUUUCUGUGUUUUUGCGGAAUUCACGCUUUUUGCCACUCAGUGGGCGUGACCGCAGUGAGUCACAGCUACUGUGAUGUCACAUGCAUACCCUCUAUAACUGAAAAAAAGAGUCUAGUUUUCUAGCAAAAAUGAGAGGAAAAAAAGGUAUGUAUUCUGAUUGGCUAAUCCUGUUUGUCUUCACAGUAGCUAAUAGCCAAUCAAAUAUCCAUCCAUCCAUCCAUCCAUCCAUCCAUUUUCUGUACAGCUUAUUCUUACUGGGUCUCGGGGAACCUGGAGCCUAUCGCAAGGGGCAUGGGGCACAAGGUGAAGGGAAAUCCUGUACGGGGUGCCAAUCCAUCACGGGGCACACUCACACACAUACACACACUACGGACACUUUGGACAUGCCAAUCAGUCUACAAUGCAUGUCUUUGGACUGGAGGAGGAAACCCCCAAAGCACAGGGAGAACAUGCAAACUCCACACACAGGGCCACGGUGAGAAUCAACACCCCAACCCUGGAGGUGUGAAGCAAAUGCGCUAACCAAAAAAAAAAAAAAAGGGGGGGGGGGGGGAUUUAUUCGGCGUUUUGGGAAGGUUAAAUAGAGUAAUGGUAACUUAUUGAACAUCAUUUCAGCGCAAUUACUGUGCAAAACAUUUACGUGACAUUGCAUAACAUGUUUGCGCAUUAAUUUUGCUGUUUAUAAUAGGUGUAUGUCAACCAUCCAUUCCGACGUUCUUUUACAAUUAUUACUUGUCACGCUGUACGACAAGAUCCCACUAAGAAUUCUUUCAUAGACUGUGCAAUAACAUGUUCUUCAUGUUAGAUUAAAUGAUGAUGAUAGCUACUAUUCUCUGCCAUACUGGGUUUGCAGCAACGCAACACAGGUUGUCCUUUAUGAUGUGGAAUUGUGCCUGUGACAGCAAAGUCACAGUGUAAAGCCGGUGCAAAAUCCUGUAAAUUCAGGGGGGAUGUUUGUAUCCUACUACAUCUCCUGAGUUGUGUAAGUUUACGCAUGUAAUUUAUGAUUAAUGAUGUAAACCUCGACUUGGUCGACUUCAAUUCAUAUAAUUUGCAUGGAUUACUGCACUUUCAUACAGUGCCCUCCAAAAGUAUUGGAACACCAAGGUCAAUGCUUUUUUGUCGUUGUUGUCAUACACUGAAGAUAUUUGAGUUUGAGAUGAAAAUAUGAAUAUGAAACAAUACAGCAGAAUUUCAGCUUUUAUUUUCUGAUGUUUACAUUUAGAUGUGUUAACCCAAUUUAGGACAUGGCACAUUGUAUUGGAACCCACCAUUUUUUCGCAAAAUGAUAAAAAAUAUUGUGCAGUUGACUGGCAGGUGUUUCUUGUUGCCCAGGUGUGUCCUGAUAUAUUGAUUGUUUAAACAGUUAUUAGCUCUGAACAUCAACAGUACUCUUGGUUUGAGCGCUGGGUUUCACCUGUGAAGACUGCAUUUGCUGGUAAAAGAAUAACCAAUGUGAAGUCCAGAGAGCUGUGUAUGGGAGAAAAUUCAAGCCAUUAUAAAGCUGAGGAAAAAAAUAGAAAAUCGUUCAGAGCCAUUGCACAAGCAUUGGGCAUAGCAAAUACACCAAUUUGGAAUGUCCUGAAAAAGAAAGAAACCACCGGUGUACUAACAACCAGACAUGGAACAUCACAAUCCACCAUUCGUAGAAGACUUCGAGAGGAGAAAUAUAGAGGUCAUACCACAAGAUGCAAACCACUCAUGAGCAGUAAAAAUCGGAAAGACAGAUUGGUAUUUUGAAGGAAAUACGGAAAUGAGCCACAAAAGUCUUGGAACCAAGAUGACCCUCUACCAAAGUGAUGGAAAGGCCAAAGUGGGGAUCUAAUCAUGAUCCAAAACAAACAAGCUCAUCUGUGGAACAUGGCGGAGGUAGUGUCAUGGCUUGGGCUGCUUCUGGAACAGGCUCACUAAUCUUUAUUGACGAUGUAGCUCAUGAUGGCAGCAGCUGAAUGAAUUCAGAACUCUAUAGAAACAUUCUGUCUGCUAAGUUACGGAGAAAUGCAUCAAUUUAAUUGGGAGGAACUUCAUCAUGCAGGAAGUCAAUGACCCAAAACACACUGCCAACACAACAAAGGACUUCAUCAGGGAGAAAACAUGGAACAUUUUAGACUGAACAUGUCAAUCAUCGGCCCUUAACCCAACUGAGCAUGCAUUUCACAUUUAGCAGACGUCCUUAUCCAGAGAGACUUAUAGAAGUGCUUUGGUGUUUAUCAAAAACACAUCAUCAUGCUAGUUCACUAGGUCACGGACCACUAAGAACAUUUUGUGAAAAGCGAUUAUUUUAUAUUAUUGCCGUCAAUUAAAGAAUAUAAAAAUUAAAGAAAGUACAAACCCAUAAAUGAAGACAAAUGAAUCAUUCAAUCACGACAAAAGAAAUGGCACAGUAUAAACAGAAAACAGGCUGGUCUGUCUUUGCAUAGACAUAAGCCAUAAACAAAUGCCUCAGCUGAUAGUAAGAUUUCACACUCGCUUAUUAUUAUUAUCAAUAUUAUAUAUUAUGAAAUAUUUUUAUUGGCUCAGAAAUUAGUCAAAAUAACUUCCCUUUCUGCCUGUCAGGCUUUACCAUCACCGUUCAUUCUGUGCUCCCAGCUGUCUGUGUAUGUGACCUUUUAUGGAGUUUUGAUGGAGUCACAUGCAAAUUAGCUGUAUUAGGAACAUGCUUUUACUUUACAGGUCAUCAACAUAUGCAUACGAAUGCGGAAAAAAAAGUGAAAAUCAGUACAAAAAAUAAAGAAAAUGUAACAUAAAUUCCAGCAGUCAACAUUUACACUCAAUAAAACCUACAUGUUGAGGAAAAAAUUGCUGUGGACUGUGGAGUGACUUGUUAACCCAGGGGUAAUCAAAGCCUCACCCGAAUGCAACCCGCGGAAUGGUUUUAAUUAUCCUCUCUCUUAGAAUGUAUGAUACGUGGCUGGC
Ictalurus punctatus (channel catfish) is the source of this 3137-nucleotide long non-coding RNA. The record is from Ensembl. Lineage: Eukaryota; Metazoa; Chordata; Actinopteri; Siluriformes; Ictaluridae.